UACGAAGGGGGCUAGCGUUGUUCGGAAUUACUGGGCGUAAAGGGUUCGUAGGUGGUGCGGCAAGUUGGAAGUGAAAUCUCUGGGCUUAACCUAGAGGCUGCUUUCAAGACUGCCGUGCUCGAGUGCGGGAGAGGCCAGUGGAAUUGCAGGUGUAGCGGUGAAAUGCGUAGAUAUCUGCAGGAACACCCGUGGCGAAGGCGGCUGGCUGGACCGCAACUGACACUGAGGAACGAAAGCUAGGGGAGCAAACAGG
This 253-nucleotide ribosomal RNA is filed under the name uncultured bacterium. RNAcentral describes it as "partial 16S ribosomal RNA". It matches the Rfam family "Bacterial small subunit ribosomal RNA", at positions 524 to 776 of the family's 1533-position model. The record is from RNAcentral.